Molecule: long non-coding RNA, 1604 nt
Organism: Mya arenaria
Lineage: Eukaryota; Metazoa; Mollusca; Bivalvia; Myida; Myidae
Exons: 4
Source: RefSeq, a predicted model, not a curated record
GACCGCAAAGGAUUAUGGUCUAUUGGAAAGUCGAAAAUGUUUGUCGAAAUAAUGCGCCAAAUAAACUGAAGUGUUGUUUCGUUUAUUAAAGCCGGCCUAAGUGAGCUAACAAAGAAAUCAUCAGUCCACAAAAGAAUCAACCAGGGAAGGAGAAAAACAUUCAAAGCUGCAAAUUGCCAAAUCCAUCACCGGCCUAAAAGAGCUAACAAAAAAAUCAUCAGUCCAUAAAAGAAUCGACCAGUGAAGGAGAAAAACAUUCAAAGCUGUAAAUUGCCAAAUCCAUCAGUUGGAAGAUGGAUGUCAAAGUCUCAGACAAAAGCUUCCAGAGUUAAGGAGAGAACACUUCAACAAAAACAAGCACGAGAAGAAUGACUGCAAAAAAAGUUUUUCGCAGAUUCGUUUCCUUAUCAAGUGUAUUUAAGGAAAAUGGACCUGUCUACAGAGACUAGAUGUAAAUGUCAAGGACUGCAAUGAUCAAUUCAAUGACUCCUUUCUAAUUGUGUCAAGUGUCAUAAAAAAUUAAAACUGUUAUAAAUGGACGUGUAGUAAUGAUGAAAUUAUUACCCUGUUGCGAAUAACAUUAACUAUUCAUGAACUUAGUUCAUGAAUGACAUUUUGAAAAAAUCAUGUUCAUGAACUGUCAAGUUCAUUAACUAAGUGGGAGUUCAUGAACAUGAUUUGUCCAAAUUGUCAUUCAUGAAUAGUUUAUGUUUUUCUUUAAAAGCACACGCCAGGGGCUAGAAUAAGGUUAGGUGAAUAAGGGUCCUCUUAUUUAAUCUUCAGAUAAGCUUGCACAAGCUCGCAAAGUGAAUUGUAACGAGCUUAUCAAGCUCGUAAUAUUGCUCAUACAAGCUCGUAAAGCUGCCCAUGACGAGCUUGUACAAGCUCGCGACGUGAAAUGUAACAUGCUUGUCAAGCUCGUAAAAUUGCUCAUACAAGCCUGUAAAGCUGCUCGUGACGAGCUUGUACGAUCUUGUUUUUAAGCUUGUACUAGCUUAAUUUUGAGCGUGUACGAGCUUAAACGAACACGUACGAGCUGGUAUUUGUUUCAAUUACGGCCCAUAAUAGCUUAAAGCUCGGGCGCGCUUGCUCGCGAACUAGAUUGGGAAGUUGAUCGUACGAUCCCUUGACAAGCUCGUCUUCUAGCUCGCGAUUUUCAUAAGGGAAGUACCACAUAGUUUACAAUUUAUUUAAGUUUAGCAGUUACUUAGUAUUUUUCCAUUAAAAAAGAUUACUGGGUAUGUGUUCAAGGUAGAAUUCAUUCAAUCAUGCGUGAUUGGCUAGAAGGUGUUAUCACGUGAAGUUGGACUUCAAUUUUUGCGACGCGGGGUCUCCGACACAAUCUUUUUUUACAAUUAUGACAUCAAAGCGUAACACAUUCUAUUAGAUAAUUGUCCUGAGAUUCGUUAUAGAAAAAACUUUUUUUGGUGCAAAUCUCUGACACAGUCCCUUUAAGGACACAUUAUUUUGUUUUAUGACUUCAUUUUAACUUCACGCAAUGACACUUGUAAAGUUGUUAUGACUUUACGUCACAAGAGUUGAAAACGGCUGUAGUGCACUAGAGUGGAAUACAGCCUACCAUAUUUUGCGAUAAGUAUUACGUG